RNAcentral lists this long non-coding RNA (471 nucleotides) under Chrysemys picta bellii (western painted turtle). Its description in RNAcentral is "lncRNA (ENSCPBG00000024837.1)". Lineage: Eukaryota; Metazoa; Chordata; Testudines; Emydidae. The record is from RNAcentral.
UGUCUUCAAUCCCUGUUUCAUUUACUCCGGAGUCUUCCGGGACCAUAUUGAAAGCCGUUAUCUGUCCAUCACGGUUUAAAAUCUGCUCAGCAACUUGCUGUGUCUUGGCCUUGGUCUCCAUGAAGAACACUCAUCAUGCCAGCUCCUACAAUGUAACCAGUUGAGCUUUCCAGAAGCGGUCUGUGUCUUGCUACUAGACCCUGGGACAAAGAGCCCGACAUUCAUGGGGUUUCCUUUGCCUCCUUUAGGGAGUGGACGCAGUACCCUGGGACCAAUCACACACCAUAAAUAGUCAAAGUGAAGAGUUUGCAAGCAAGACAGAUGUUACUGGUCUGAAAUAGUCCGUGAGUGCCCAGUAUCAUAAUGGGCUGAUUUGGGGAGAAAAAACUCAGAUUGGCGUUGGAAAGAUACACUUUAAUUACCAUGCAUCAUAUCACCUCCGAACAUGGAACCUUACUUUGUUAGGAAGAG